GGGUUGUGAGGUUAAGCGACUAAGCGUACACGGUGGAUGCCCUGGCAGUCAGAGGCGAUGAAGGGCGUGCUAAUCUGCGAUAAGCGCCGGUAAGGUGAUAUGAACCGUUAUAACCGGCGAUACCCGAAUGGGGAAACCCAGUGUGACUCGUCACACUAUCAUUAACUGAAUCCAUAGGUUAAUGAGGCGAACCGGGGGAACUGAAACAUCUAAGUACCCCGAGGAAAAGAAAUCAACCGAGAUUCCCCCAGUAGCGGCGAGCGAACGGGGAGGAGCCCAGAGCCUGAAUCAGCAUGUGUGUUAGUGGAAGCGUCUGGAAAGGCGCGCGAUACAGGGUGACAGCCCCGUACACAAAAGCGCAUGUGCUGUGAGCUCGAUGAGUAGGGCGGGACACGUGGUAUCCUGUCUGAAUAUGGGGGGACCAUCCUCCAAGGCUAAAUACUCCUGACUGACCGAUAGUGAACCAGUACCGUGAGGGAAAGGCGAAAAGAACCCCGGCGAGGGGAGUGAAAAAGAACCUGAAACCGUGUACGUACAAGCAGUGGGAGCACCCUUUGGGGUGUGACUGCGUACCUUUUGUAUAAUGGGUCAGCGACUUAUAUUCUGUAGCAAGGUUAACCGUAUAGGGGAGCCGGAGGGAAACCGAGUCUUAAUUGGGCGUUAAGUUGCAGGGUAUAGACCCGAAACCCGGUGAUCUAGCCAUGGGCAGGUUGAAGGUUGGGUAACACUAACUGGAGGACCGAACCGACUAAUGUUGAAAAAUUAGCGGAUGACCUGUGGCUGGGGGUGAAAGGCCAAUCAAACCGGGAGAUAGCUGGUUCUCCCCGAAAGCUAUUUAGGUAGCGCCUCGUGAAUUCAUCUCCGGGGGUAGAGCACUGUUUCGGCUAGGGGGCCAUCCCGGCUUACCAACCCGAUGCAAACUGCGAAUACCGGAGAAUGUUAUCACGGGAGACACACGGCGGGUGCUAACGUCCGUCGUGAAGAGGGAAACAACCCAGACCGCCAGCUAAGGUCCCAAAGUCAUGGUUAAGUGGGAAACGAUGUGGGAAGGCCCAGACAGCCAGGAUGUUGGCUUAGAAGCAGCCAUCAUUUAAAGAAAGCGUAAUAGCUCACUGGUCGAGUCGGCCUGCGCGGAAGAUGUAACGGGGCUAAACCAUGCACCGAAGCUGCGGCAGCGACGCUUAUGCGUUGUUGGGUAGGGGAGCGUUCUGUAAGCCUGUGAAGGUGGCCUGUGAGGGUUGCUGGAGGUAUCAGAAGUGCGAAUGCUGACAUAAGUAACGAUAAAGCGGGUGAAAAGCCCGCUCGCCGGAAGACCAAGGGUUCCUGUCCAACGUUAAUCGGGGCAGGGUGAGUCGACCCCUAAGGCGAGGCCGAAAGGCGUAGUCGAUGGGAAACAGGUUAAUAUUCCUGUACUUGGUGUUACUGCGAAGGGGGGACGGAGAAGGCUAUGUUGGCCGGGCGACGGUUGUCCCGGUUUAAGCGUGUAGGUGUGUGUUCCAGGUAAAUCCGGUUCACUUUAACACUGAGGCGUGA
RNAcentral lists this ribosomal RNA (1533 nucleotides) under Salmonella enterica. Its description in RNAcentral is "partial 23S ribosomal RNA". It matches the Rfam family "Bacterial large subunit ribosomal RNA", at positions 1 to 1566 of the family's 2925-position model. The record is from RNAcentral. Lineage: Bacteria; Pseudomonadati; Pseudomonadota; Gammaproteobacteria; Enterobacterales; Enterobacteriaceae. RNAcentral also lists the same sequence under 1 other name.